GAUGAACGCUGGCGGCGUGCCUAACACAUGCAAGUCGAACGAAGCACCUUACUUGAUUCUUCGGAUGAAGGUCUGGUGACUGAGUGGCGGACGGGUGAGUAACGCGUGGGUAACCUGCCCUGUACAGGGGGAUAACAGCUGGAAACGGCUGCUAAUACCGCAUAAGCGCACGAGGAGACAUCUCCUUGUGUGAAAAACUCCGGUGGUACAGGAUGGGCCCGCGUCUGAUUAGCUGGUUGGCAGGGUAACGGCCUACCAAGGCAACGAUCAGUAGCCGGUCUGAGAGGAUGAACGGCCACAUUGGAACUGAGACACGGUCCAAACUCCUACGGGAGGCAGCAGUGGGGAAUAUUGCACAAUGGGGGAAACCCUGAUGCAGCAACGCCGCGUGAGUGAAGAAGUAUUUCGGUAUGUAAAGCUCUAUCAGCAGGGAAGAUAAUGACGGUACUUGACUAAGAAGCUCCGGCUAAAUACGUGCCAGCAGCCGCGGAAAUACGUAUGGAGCAAGCGUUAUCCGGAUUUACUGGGUGUAAAGGGUGCGUAGGUGGCAGUGCAAGUCAGAUGUGAAAGGCCGGGGCUCAACCCCGGAGCUGCAUUUGAAACUGCUCGGCUAGAGUACAGGAGAGGCAGGCGGAAUUCCUAGUGUAGCGGUGAAAUGCGUAGAUAUUAGGAGGAACACCAGUGGCGAAGGCGGCCUGCUGGACUGUUACUGACACUGAGGCACGAAAGCGUGGGGAGCAAACAGGAUUAGAUACCCUGGUAGUCCACGCCGUAAAC
RNAcentral lists this ribosomal RNA (777 nucleotides) under uncultured bacterium. RNAcentral describes it as "bacterial SSU rRNA". It matches the Rfam family "Bacterial small subunit ribosomal RNA", at positions 28 to 807 of the family's 1533-position model. The record is from RNAcentral.